GGGGGUAGGGAUGAAAGAUGCAGAGAGAGGCUGACAGGAAGCUGGCAAAGGGACUUCAGAAAAAGGGUGACACUGUGGCCGCGGCCGAGGUGGUCUGAAGGAUUUGACCGCUCCCAGCAAAGGUUCCUUUUCUGACAGUUAUAAUGUUACUGUAACACAACACCCGGAGGGAAAAGCCCAGUGCUAAUCGGGGCUCAAGAAGUCAGUGGACUUGGUGUACAGAGUGGGGUGUUUAAUUUUAUGAUGUGGCUACGGGUUCCAUGAGAGACUAAUAAAAGAACUCCAUAAAAUGCGGCUUGGAGGCACCGGGCUGCAGCCUCUGCUAGAGGGUCACCCUGCUCAGAAGUGGUUUCAGAGCAGGGCCAGUGUCUAGCUGGUAUGCACUGGGUAUGGCCAUUCCGGUUCGUAGACCAUUCAGAGACUUCUGUGCCCGUUAUUACAGAGCUGCUACUCUUAGGCUCCUAAGUGCCUCCCUGCUGCUGCACUGACUGCCCAGCCCCCAUCCAGGACCUCCCCAGGACCCAGCAACCGAAUACGGGCUGCUUGCAGACCCCACUCUGUGUCUCCAGUGCCACAUCGGUUUGGAGUGGCCGGUGCCCACGCAGUUAUCAGUUGGUGCGCAUUUAAAAUGUCACCCGUUCGGGGCGCCUGCGUGGCUCAGUCGGUUGAGUGUCGGACUUCGGCUCAGGUCAUGAUCUCGUGAUCCGUGAGUUCGAGCCCCGCGUCGGGCUUUGUGCUAACACCUCAGAGCCUGGAGCACGCUUUGGAUUCUGUGUCUCCCUCUCUCUGACCUUCCGCCGUUCAUGCUCUGUCCCUCUCUGUCUCAAAAAUAAAUAAACGUUAAAAAAAAAUUAAAAAAAAAAUAGUCACCCGUUCUACAGCAUAUCUUCCUGGGGGUGAGGCCUGGCAGAUACCUGUGGAGCAGACCAGGGACAGUUCCAUCGGACUCCCCUUCUUGGAUUCCAGACCAGUCCAGGGUGCCCAAAGGAGGCUUUCUUAAGAGGUGACUCUCAUUCCCCUGGUUGCUUCAAGGACACACCCAACUGUUCCCUUGAAUCAUAUUUGACUGCCUCAAAGGAGAGUGUUAAUAAGCAGAGGAAUGACUUCAGGGUUGAAGAAUAUUUUUGGGAGAAAGAGACAAAUUUGCAUAAUAUUUCCCAAGCAGGAAUUGCAUUUGCCAUAGAGUUUGAAUUAGAAGGAAACUUAGACAUCUGGUCUCUCUUUAUAGCCAGUGUGGCCCCUUCUAUAGCAACCUUCCCAGGAGAUAGUCAGCCCCUUCUAGGUCAUGCCCCUUGCCAGGGAACUCAGCUCUCUGAAAGAAGCCUCCUGUAUGAACCAACAGGAACUGAAGUUUUCCUAACAAAUGAGAAGUAUGAGCCCCCUUUGUUGAGCUGAAAUCUUUCUAUACAUCUCAACUUUUUGUUCCUCACCUUGAUGGGAUUGCAAGUUCAAAGAGAGCCUCAAAGCAAGCAAUGCCAUCUACUAACCUGUCCUAUAGUAUCAAGUGAGGUGAGAGGUCAUGCAAUCAUUUGUUCAUUCAUUCAUUCAUUCAUUCAACCUAUGUUUACUGAGUGGACACAAAGUGCCAGACCAUGUCCCUGGUGCUGGAGAUUCAGCAGUAAACUGGAAAUGGUUCUGCUCUGGGAGACUGUCCAGUCCACUGGGGCCAGUAAUAGACAUCUGGAGAGACCAGAGGAAGCUGGGGUGGUUGAGCUUUGCCUCUGAACCCCAUUCCACGUGGGUGGGGCUGUCCUGAGUGACUGUGGGUAAGAAGCUUCUGUCUAUGGUUUUCCUUUGCCCUCACCGGUUGCUAACAGCCUGGUGAGUCCACUGAAAGCAUCGAGUCCUCGAGAUGGGCCCUCGUUGUACAGACAUGGAGAUGGAGAGGCCAAGGACUUUCGCCACCAUCCUCCUCACACUCUUGGAAAAGUGCUCGUGAGCAUCAGCCAACAUUAUAUAACGUGUUUUGCUGAAUGAACAAUUGAAGAGAAUAAUUCUUUUGUCCUCCAUAAACCAGAAAUAUUGGACAAUCUGGAUAAGAAAAAAAGAAGACAGUAAAAAUUAUUCAUAGAUUCAUCAUCUACAGAAAACAAUUUGGUGUUGUGCGUGCAAACUUUUUUUUCUUGGUGUAUUGUAGAUCUGCAGAUGUGGGAGAACACACACAUACACACACACACACACACACACACACACGUGCAUUUUGGACUCUAUCUUUUUUGCCCAGUUAUUUUCCCAGUGACCACAGCUUUAAAGUAAAUCCAAUUAUUAAAAAAAAAAUCACAUUAUUGUGCAUAACUUUGAAGGGCUUCCCCCAAAGAAACCAGUGGAGAACAAAGAGUUUAAUGGUCUUCUAAGCAGAUUGGGCAUCUGCCAGAGACCGCAGAUCAAGUUUGUCCUUCAUUUAUGUGAAGAGGCUGAGGGUGGGAUGGAGAUUUUUAUAAGAUGGUACAUUGGCUGCCCUUGACUUCCAACUCCAAUCUGGUACUUCUCUCCAUGAGGCAACCACUGGGAAUGAUGGUGGUGGAGGAGUGAGGACAAACAGACCCAGGGAAGGGAGCGGCAGCUGGACAGCUUUGAGCUUUGAGCUCCCCUCUGAGCCAACAGACGGAGAGCACAGAGAUGAGGCUGUCUGUGUGUGUGUGUGUCCUGGGCUCCAUCAGCAUUCAUGGGCGACCUCCCUGGUCCCAGGCUGUUGAGGAGAAGCUGAACCUGGGAAGACAGCAGAGCUGAGACCCUUCUUUCUUCCUGGUGCCUUGAUCAGAACUGACUCCCUAUAUACAGCUACUCCCAGGACUGCUGCCACUUAAGGAACCCCUAGAAGCUGGCCCUGAGCUUCAAAGGACAGAUAAAAGAAACCUGUGCACAUAAGAGGGCUCAGCAGGCAGAGAGAGGGGGAAGAAGAACCCACCGAACAGCUCCUCAAGGAAAUAACACUGACAGCCUGUGCAGAAGUAACAAGGACCUUCAAACACAGUCCCAAAAAAGGACUUCCAGGAACUAAAUCAUAUUUUUAAUGAAAAUAAUCAUUGAAUGAAUGAAGGCAGAAUAUAGACUUAGAAGAUCAAGUGCAAAAAUAUCCCAAACAGGGGCGCCUGGGUGCCGUUUGAGCGUCCGACUCUUGAUUUCGGUCAUGAUCUCAAAUGGUUUGUGAGUUCAAGCCCUGGGUCAGGUUCUGUGUUGACAGCAUGGAACCUGCUUGGGAUUCUCUCUCUCCCCCUCUCUCUCUGCCCCUCCCCUGCUGUCUCUCUCGAAAAUGAAUAAACAUUAAAAAUAAUAAUAUAUUGAAAAUACUUUAUAAAAAAAAUCCUAAACAUAGAACAAGAAUACAAAGAGAUGGAAAUCAUGCAGGGACAAUAAGAGAGAAGGUAGCUAAUGUCAGCAGACCUAAGAUAUCAAUCCCCGGAGUUCCAGGAGGAGAAAAAGAAAUAGCUGAAGGAGAGGGAAUAAUUAGACAAAUGAUAGAAGAUAACUGCCCUGAGUGGGAAAGACCGGGGUCUAAGGUUUACAAACAACACCGGGGGGGUUGGGGGUCACUAGCACUGAAAGCCACAUACCUAAGCCCGUCCAGAUAAAAUUCUUGAAAGGCACGUGUAAAGAGAACCUCUUUCCCUCUUCAGUACAAAGAGGGAAACAUUAGUUACAAAGGAAUGGAAAGGAGAUGGGGGUCACAUUUCACACCUCUAAUAACGGGGACUCGAAGAUGGCUGAAAAAUACUAGAGCUGUCUUGCUGGUCAGGAUAAAACAAAACAAGCCUUACCUGGGUGCCCAGGCCUUUUGAGAAAAAAACCUCUAGAAAGAACCGUCAGCAACACAGACAAGUCAAGACAGGGGAAGAUGAAGAAGUUGGUGGGGAGCAUUUGGGCCCCUGGAUCACUCUGUCUGUAUGUCUCUCUGUCCCUCUCUGUCUCUCUGAGGCUGUCGCAGCCAAGGCCUCAGCUGAACCCAAGGGGGAACUUUGGCGUGGAGCCCCUCUGAGCCCGGAUGGGUCUGGCCUGUUCACCAGGCAGGAACCAGCAGUGAGGGUGCCCCAGGGAAGGAAGCAGACCUGGGGUGUGGCAGUUCCCUUCAGCUCCAGGCAGUUGUCUGAGGGAGAGAGAUGUAGCUGGGGAGCCGACAGCAGCCAACGCUCCUUCCGCUGGGAGGGAGGGACACCACGUCCUCCACUAUCUGGGUGGUUGUGCCGGGGCUGUGCUGGGAGAUGCUUACCAAUCAGUUUGGGGGGUGCAGAGCUCUGAUUUGUGGCUUCUGCCUAUUUUUGUGGUCUAAAUACUCAAUCAUGGCUGAUAUCAACCUACCAAAGUGAUAUCGCUGCCCACAGAGGUGGGAGAAGGUGCAGGCAGCUGCCUCCCAGGGGCUGGUGCCAGCUGGCUCCCAUCCCCCACUGUGUGCACCAAGGACCUUAGGGGGUACGCGGAGCAGGGGACAACAGGAGGAGCAGCAGGUGGGGCUGCGGGGCGUCCUGUGCAGUGCUAGUGCACUGGCCCUGGCAGGGGUCCCUCCUUUGGACUCAUUUUCUUCUUUUGGGGUCACCUUUCUAACCCUCCUCUCUCCAGUCCCUUCCCCCUGUCCCUUCAUUCACCCCAGUAAAUUGGUAUUCUUUGCAGGUAGUAUUCCAGGAGGAAUCUCAAACCCUCAUUCUUUGUGAAGUCCACGUGACCAUCAAAUCAGGAGGCUGUUUCUCUGUGGGCAGUUCUGAGAAUCAAGGAUCCUGUUCAUUCUGGAUUUGAAAAGACAGACCUAGGAAGGAGGUGGGCACUCACUCACCAUCUCUGAAAAAAGACACAUGUGGCUAUUUUGGUAAGAAAACCCAAGAGAGAGAGAGAAAAAAAAUGAACACAGGAAAGACUUUUCUGAUAAUGAGAAGUGAGAAGACAUCUAUUGAAAUGGAUCUAAAGUAUAUGGUGCACUGUGCAGCACGGGCUCACUUGAAAAUGAAC
Molecule: long non-coding RNA, 4938 nt
Organism: Panthera uncia (snow leopard)
Lineage: Eukaryota; Metazoa; Chordata; Mammalia; Carnivora; Felidae
Exons: 3
Source: RefSeq, a predicted model, not a curated record